AACGGUCUAUACCUGCGGUACCUGCGGAGGGAUCAUUACCGAGUGUGACCUCCUUGUAAAAAAGGGGGGACCUCCCGUCCUUUGCUGGCCCCUCUGGGGUUCUUUUUCUGCUUCGGCGGGGUUACCUGCCGGAACACCCUCAAAAAUCUCUUUUGUUAAAAACCGUUCCGUCCGAGCGCUUUUUAGAAAAAAAAAAUGAGCGAAAAACUUUCAACAACGGAUCUCUAGAUCGGAAGAGCA
Molecule: unclassified non-coding RNA, 240 nt
Filed under: soil metagenome
Description: partial contains 5.8S ribosomal RNA, internal transcribed spacer 2, and large subunit ribosomal RNA
Source: RNAcentral